CAGCCGCCACGGGAAUACAGAGGGUGCGAGCGUUAAUCGGAUUUACUGGGCGUAAAGCGUGCGUAGGCGGCUUUUUAAGUCGGAUGUGAAAUCCCUGAGCUUAACUUAGGAAUUGCAUUCGAUACUGGGAAGCUAGAGUAUGGGAGAGGAUGGUAGAAUUCCAGGUGUAGCGGUGAAAUGCGUAGAGAUCUGGAGGAAUACCGAUGGCAAAGGCAGCCAUCUGGCCUAAUACUGACGCUGAGGUACGAAAGCAUGGGGAGCAAACAGGAUUAGAUACCCCUGUAGUCCCUGUCUCUUAUAC
RNAcentral lists this ribosomal RNA (301 nucleotides) under uncultured bacterium. RNAcentral's name for it is "partial 16S ribosomal RNA". It matches the Rfam family "Bacterial small subunit ribosomal RNA", at positions 509 to 807 of the family's 1533-position model. The record is from RNAcentral.